This 658-nucleotide long non-coding RNA is filed under the name Triticum aestivum (bread wheat). RNAcentral describes it as "long non-coding RNA (TAES_LNC022336)". The record is from RNAcentral. Lineage: Eukaryota; Viridiplantae; Streptophyta; Magnoliopsida; Poales; Poaceae.
CUCACACAGUGCCAACCCUGUGAGAGAAAACUAUGGUACUGAUUUCUUCGGUUAUAAGGUUAUGUGUUCCCCUAGGAUUUAAGAUGGUGAAGUUACUUGAUGUAGGAACUAGGGUAUACUAUGACUGUAUCACCUUUUGAUGUUUAUUGACUUGCUUCAAUAAGAACUUCAGUGCUUGAGUCCAACCCUGUAAGGUUUCACUUUGCUCCAAUUACUCAAUCAGAACUCAUGGUUCUAUAUGUUGUAGGCUCUGAACUUCCUUCAAUCAGAAUAUGAUUUUUCACAAGAUCAUGAAAUAUUUAUGUCCCCUAGGUUCUUAUUGGCCAAUUUCUCAGAUUAGGAGUUGAUAUAAACAUCAAUAUGCUUAAGGUAAUGCACCCUACUUUGCAUAGUAAACCAUAUUGAGCUAUUGUGAAUGCAAAACAUCUUUAAUAACUGAAGAUGAUGUCACAGCCCUACUUUAGUUUAUAGAUUACAAAGAGAUUGCCCAAUCUAGAAAAGAAAAGGUGGAUGCCAAACUGAAGAGUCAUGUGAUGUAAGCAGCUGGGAUGCUAAAAAGUUUGUGUAAGUUCUACUGGCUUGCUCCCGAAUAUUAGCUUGCUCGAAUAGAAAAUGUCUCAGAAUCUUCUGAAAGAUCAUUUGUUGAUGUUAUUUGAGC